Molecule: long non-coding RNA, 2537 nt
Organism: Medicago truncatula (barrel medic)
Lineage: Eukaryota; Viridiplantae; Streptophyta; Magnoliopsida; Fabales; Fabaceae
Exons: 8
Source: RefSeq, a predicted model, not a curated record
UGGUAAAUUAGUAAAUGUUGCAUUUCCCCUAUAUAUAUAUGGAGUGGUAUGAUUUCAACAUUUCAUUCCCAGAAUUUCCUUGCCUGUUCAGUGUCGCGGUUGGAGAGUGAAAAGCACUGUUUCUUCUUCUUCAUCAUCAAAGAAUGAUUCAAUUUUCUGAAUGGGUAUAUGAGACCAUUGUCAAAUGUUCUUUCGUUCCUGUGUCUCUCAACCCAUCUUUAAAAUCUCAAUAUGCUUCACUACAGGUCCUGUGGAAAGGCUAUGGAUACUUCAUAAUCAAGAACUUUGCAGCUGCAGUUUGGAAAGAGCAUAUCUAUCCCUGUCUUUACCAGAGCUCGAAUUGAAGGAGAAGAAAGAACUAAGUAAUGCGACUGAUAACUUUAGUCCUGCCAAUAAAAUUGGAGAGGGUGGUUUUGGUUCUGUCUACAUGGGACGACUGAAAAAUGGAAAACUUGCUGCUAUAAAAGUUCUUUCAGCUGAAUCAAGACAAGGGGCGAAAGAGUUCUUGACGGAGAUUAGUGUGAUCUCUGAAGUAGAGCAUUAAAAUUUGGUUAAGUUGUAUGGUUGUUGUGUUGAAAGAAAUAGCAGGAUAUUAAUCUACAACUACCUUGAGAAUAAUAGCCUUUCACAAACUCUUCUAGUUGGAGGUCACAGUAGUAUCUACUUUGAUUGGCGAACGCGAUGUAGAAUAUGUGUUGACAUUGCACGCGGGCUUGCCUUUCUGCACGAAGAAGUCAGGCCUCCUAUCAUUCAUAGGGAUACAAAAGCAAGCAAUAUUCUCCUUGACAAAGAUCUUACACCGAAGAUUUCGGAUUUUGGUCUUUCAAGCGGAUAUAUUUUUAGCACCUCAGUUACAUGCUGCAUCUAAGAGAUUCAGCAUUCACAUGGUAGUAUUCUAUGGUCUCGAUAUUUUUUCUGGGGGAAUAAGGGAUUGUAAUGAGUAUUGCACUUGGUGAAAUUUUGAAACAAUGGGAAACAGCUGAAGUAUUAUGUAUGUUCUUUGGAAACAGCUGAAGUAUUAUGUAUGAUCUUAGGAUGAUGGAGUCUAUAUAAUCUGUUUUGUAGCUUCAGAGAGCAUGGAAGGCUUUGAAUUGGACUCAGAAGUUGAGUUUAUUGACGAUAGUUAUCCAUGGAAUAACAUCUUUAUCAGAGAUUUCUACAAAUAAGCUUGAGGUUACUUCUCUUGCCUAGAAUGUCAAUCUCAAUUUUUACUAUUUUUUAUGUUACAGGUCCUGCUUUUAUAUGCUUGAUCCCCUUUUAAAAUGAUAUUUAGUCUUGUUCCGGGUAGAGCUUCUAGGAUCUCUUCCCGCAGUGUGCCAUGUUCAAGGUCGGUGUUUUGUGUUUAGGUUAAAUGAGAGGCUUAGGUUUUCUUUGUUUUGAUCUUUCCCCAUUUAGCUAAGAUUUCUGCUCUGUAGGCACCCUACUAAGCUACGGUUUUAGUUGGGGUAUCCUUGGAACCUACGCCUAUUCCGAGUACUUUAUUAAUUGGGUUUAAACAGUUCGCAGACCAAGGGUAUUGAAAUAAGUUGUGAUUUAAUUCCAACCAUUCAGUUAUAGUGAAAUGUUUUACGACGGUUCAGGUUUAUGUGUGUGUGUAAGAUGCAUAAUGAAUGUACUCAAAGUGUUUAUAUGUAUAUUAUAUAUAAAACUCUCAACUAAGGAGAUGCAUAAAUAUCUAUGAUUCGCAUAUAAUCUAUGCAACAGUUUGCUUUAGUAGUAGUUAUUUGAAAAACUAAAGAGCCAAAUCUUGGUAUUAGUUAUAGAAAGCAAGUUCAGAUGAUGCUACACUUCAGCCUUAUGAGCAGCUCAGUUUUUCAUAUCCAUCCUUAUUGCCACCUCUUAUACAUGAACGAGAUACUUAUUUUUUGUCUGUUCUGCAGUAUCUUGCAUGGUCUCUGAAGCAGAGCAAGGUUGUGGCUGUGAAUAACUGUAAAAGGGAGGUGUGAUUGGAAAAGGCCACAUGGAUGGUGUAAUAUUUGCACUGUUAGCCGAUACAGGGAAUUUGAGAUUUCGAGACCUUGCUGGGAAAAAUUCAAAUGAUGGGGGUUCUAAUGGCUGGAUUGAUGUCAUUAAUUUAAUGGUUCUUUAUAGCUUAGGCAAUUUGAGUCUCUAUCCAAUUUUCUAUACCACUAAUUGACAAAACAGCCACUGUAUCAUGGUGAGAGUGGAGUAGACCAACUUCUGGCAGUGAAAGAAAAUGGGCUCAAAUAGCAGAGAAGUUAGAAGGAAGGGUUGGCAAGCAGUGUAGAGAGCGAUGGCACAAUCAUUUGCGUCCUGAUAUUAAGUUUAGAUAUAUGUACCAAUUUUUUUAUUUCAUAUAAUUUUUUAUUACAAGUUUUGUGCUUUGAAUUUGACCCUAGGAUUAUUUUUUAUUUCAUAUUAACUGGAAUAAAUUAUUUUUGCAUAUUAAUAACAAAAGCAGUUAUGCUGUCAUGUAUAUAAUUUGAAGUCAGAUUGGUUAUCAUGGUAACAGAUUUGUUAUGCCAAUAUAUAACAUCAUAGUCAAUAGUAGGUAUAUAACUUGCAAAUUUCCAGAA